UGAUUAUUUGGACGGACUGUGCUACUCACUUGAUCCUUAUGGUGCCUUUUAGGAAUCGCAAUUGAAGCUUCAGCUUAAGGACACUGUCAGUUCUUCGCCUCGGGAAGAGCUUGAAGCUGAAGAUGCCAACAGCAACGGGAAACCCAUAACAGAGGAAGAAACACUAGAAGUAAAGGAGGAAACUGCUCUUAUGCAGGUGGCUGUAGUAGCUGCAAUGUGCUACUUUCCAACAGGGCCUUUUAAAUUAUUGCUUGGUGUAUGUGAUGUGAAACAUGGCCUUACAGCUGCUGUGAAUGCCGCUAAGCUAGUGGUAUCUCCUGUUUCUUGUUCCUUUUCUCUCUCAGCAGCAGCCAGGUGCUGGUAUGGAUUAUCUGACCGAGGACAAUGAAGCUGCUGCAGACAUGAUCAGAUAUGUAGGACAUGACUCCAACGUCCACCUGAAGUCUUUGAAGUCAGACAUCGUUUCGGUUACAGGGAGGGAGAUGACUGCCACCAAGCCGUCGACUCCUUUUUCACAGAAAGAGUUUGAAGCCCUUGCAAUGCUGGAACACCUGCAAGUGCAGCUCAUAGAAACAGAGAUCCGUGCCCAGAAUGCAGAGGAGAGAUCUGAGGGUCUUGAAGAGAAGCUGGAAGAAGCUCUGCAGAGAAUCAAAGAGCUAGAGAGUGAGCUGGAGAAAGAAGGGAAAGUCACCCCAGAAGCCACACACGAAGAAGGGCAAGAAAAAUAUUUCCAAGAAAAUGUCCCAGAAGUAGAGGCCUGCUUGAGUCCCAAAACUUCUACCUCUGAUGAGUCCGAAGGAUCCGGAGAAAGCGAAUAUUAAAGAACAGUAAUGCCUGAGUAGUUUCUCAGAGCCCAUUCAACUCACCCCUGAUCCACUGCCUUACUUCUCAUUCACUACCCCAACAUCUCUGUGCUAUCUCAGCAUUUAUGCUGUUCUUCUAGCUGGCUCUGCCACUUCUACAUCUGUCUUCUUUGUCCUCUACUGCCUUCCACAGCUCUAAUAUCUUUACAGAUUGUCUUCCUUGUAAUACCAUAGCAACUUUGUCUUUCUCCUGCCUGUGCACCCUCCCUCCCUUCCCUUGCCUUGUGCUUGCCUCUUGGUUGUGUUCAUCAAUCUCUUCUUGCUGCUCUACAUCAUUCUGCCUUAUCCCUGGUGGAUCAUUCAAGUAAAUCAUUUGCACCUCUUUCCUCUUGUACCAAGGUUGGUUUUUUUUCCCCAGUGCCAGCAUGGCUUGGUUGUGUAUCUGAUAAUGGGUACCUCCUUCAUCCCCUGGGCUUUAGAUGAUUCAGUUACCAGCUGACUGGUUAGGAAGAAAUUGUACAGAAAUUGUGCAGAAUUGUAUGGACAAAUUUUUGUUUGUCUUUGAAUGUU
This 1373-nucleotide long non-coding RNA is filed under the name Calidris pugnax (ruff). RNAcentral's name for it is "lncRNA (ENSCPUG00000017295.1)". Lineage: Eukaryota; Metazoa; Chordata; Aves; Charadriiformes; Scolopacidae. The record is from RNAcentral.